UACCCGCAGAUGUGGGCUCAGAGGGUUAGAGUUCAACACCUCAGUCAUUAACAUCUUCUCUAAAAAUUAACAAGUGCGAUUAGCCCAUAUUAAUGAAAUAAUCUCUUGAGGUUUUUUUUUUUCUUUUAAUCUGCAGUUCCAUCUGAAUCACACAAAGAGAAAAUGCACCUUCCCAUCAGUUCAAGUUUAGAACUGGCACAUGUUAAAAAAAAAAAAAAUAGCUGAACUUAUUCUCCCCCUCUUCAAAUUCUGCAAAAUUUGCUCCCAGGUUUCCUUUCUAAGCCAAGUUUCAUCGCUGAGCACAUUUUUAUGGUCUAGUUAUAAACCCUAGAAAAACAAGGUUUAUAGGAAAUGUUGACACAACCUUCACUAAAGUGGUGCUAGCUGACACCUCUCUAUUUUCAAUUUGGGGAUUUCUACUGGGAAAAUAUAAACGCUAAUUCAGCAAAGGAAGCCAACGAUAAUAAAAAUGUUGUAGUCUUCCUGUUCACCCCAUGAAGUUCUACUUCAAAAGAUGCCAGGGCAGCGUGGAGUGAGUUAGAACGAGGACGCGCAGUUUGGAAGGCACCUGCAAACACCUCAGCCUCCCGGUUACUAUAAACCUUGCCUGGGAAUGUAUGACCUCACGGUGAGUCAUGGCUGCCCACGGCCAUUCAGUCGGAGAGGUGGCAGAAGAUUCCAGAUCUUAAUGUCAAAGAUGCCUACCAGCCUCCAAAUCUACCCUAAAUUAAGGCAAAUUGGAUUUUUCACAGGCUGGUAAAGUCAACCUGCAGACACACAGAGAAGCCUCAAAAGAUACAAGUUGGAGAAAAGGCAGACCCUGGAAGGUGGAUGUUGAAUGGUUAGCAGGCUCAAGUUGGGGCCAGCAGCAGUGUCAGGGGGACCCAGGUGUGAGGGCAGGUCGGCACAUGGGGACAGAGGGCCAGUGACAAUUCCCAUUUUCCCAGCCCGGCUCUACAGCCCAUCCAAAAGGCACAUGUGUUCCAUAUUUAGGCUUUGAUUUUUUUUUUUUUCUUUCUGAAACAGGAGGAGGUGGGAGAAAGGGGUGAAGGUUGACUCAGGUCCAGAGAUAAAGACUGACAUACACAAAUGGCCCAUAAUAGGGGGCAAAGCGAGUUAAGCUGGAGUCAAUAUUUUCAAAUCCUCAGCUAAAUAGACUAAACAGGACUGGCUGAGGAGCCAGGAGGGCCAGCUGCUGGCCAGGAGCUCCCACUGAGGAGCAGGGUAGCCGGUGAAGCCUCCCGUAUCCCCCUUUUUGUCACCUGUACAAAGGGGGCCAGCAUCCAUCUAGCCAUUGAGGUUGUGUGGGGAGGAAGACAGGUUCCUGGUGGGGCUCUCUGAAAAACUGCAAGAAGUGGGGUCCAUUACCAGCUGGGAAGUAUUACUGUGUGAAUGUGCUGAAAAA
Molecule: long non-coding RNA, 1405 nt
Organism: Bubalus bubalis (water buffalo)
Lineage: Eukaryota; Metazoa; Chordata; Mammalia; Artiodactyla; Bovidae
Exons: 2
Source: RefSeq, a predicted model, not a curated record